This 100-nucleotide microRNA precursor is filed under the name Marmota monax (woodchuck). The record is from RNAcentral. Lineage: Eukaryota; Metazoa; Chordata; Mammalia; Rodentia; Sciuridae.
UGUGUGUGUGUGUGUAUGUAUGUGUGUGUGUAUAUAUAUAUAUAAUAUAUAUAUAUUAUAUAUAUAUAUACACACACACAUACAUACACACACACACACA